GUGGUCACUUCUUCAGCAUGUACACUAAAAUUGGAACAAUAUAGAGAGGAUUAGCAUGGCCCCUGUGCAAGGAUGACAUGCAAAUUCAUGAAGUGUUCCACAUUUUU
Small nuclear RNA from Pongo abelii (Sumatran orangutan), 107 nucleotides. Lineage: Eukaryota; Metazoa; Chordata; Mammalia; Primates; Hominidae. The record is from Ensembl.